CAGCAGCCGCGGUAAAACGGAGGGUGCGAGCGUUAAUCGGAAUUACUGGGCGUAAAGCGUACGCAGGCGGUUUGUUAAGUCAGAUGUGAAAUCCCCGAGCUUAACUCGGGAACUGCAUUUGAAACUGGCAGGCUAGAGUCUCGUAGAGGGGGGUAGAAUUCCAGGUGUAGCGGUGAAAUGCGUAGAGAUCUGGAGGAAUACCGGUGGCGAAGGCGGCCCCCUGGACGAAGACUGACGUUCAGGUACGAAAGCGUGGGGAGCAAACAGGAUUAGAUACCCGGGUAGUCCCUGUCUCUUAUAC
This 301-nucleotide ribosomal RNA is filed under the name uncultured bacterium. RNAcentral's name for it is "partial 16S ribosomal RNA". It matches the Rfam family "Bacterial small subunit ribosomal RNA", at positions 509 to 807 of the family's 1533-position model. The record is from RNAcentral.